This 1450-nucleotide ribosomal RNA is filed under the name metagenome. RNAcentral's name for it is "SSU rRNA". It matches the Rfam family "Eukaryotic small subunit ribosomal RNA", at positions 358 to 1801 of the family's 1831-position model. The record is from RNAcentral.
GGUAACGGAGAAUCAGGGUUCGAUUCCGGAGAAGGAGCUUGAGAAUUGGCUACUACAUCUAAGGAAGUCAGCAGGCGCGCAAAUCACCCAAUCCCGAUUCGGGGAGGUAGUGACAAAAAAUAACAAUACCGGGCCUUUUUGGGCUUGGUAAUUGGAAUGAGGGAGAGUUAAACGGACCAUCGAGUAUCCAUUGGAGGGCAAGUCUGGUGCCAGCAGCUGCGGUAAUACCAGCUCCAAUAGCGUAUAUUAAAGUUGUUGCAGUUAAAAAGCUCGUAGUUGGACUUGUGUGCGCUGUCCGCGGGUGGCCUGCGCCCAAAAGGGCGUUUCGGUUCGGCCCCGGUGGCGCCUUGAAAUCUGCAGCUGGGGGGACGUUGGCCUUAACUGGUCGGCGACCGCACGCCGGCUGCUCGGUUACUGUGAGAAAAUUAGAGUGUUCAAGGCAGGCAUUGGGUGCAAUUGAAUACAUUAGCAUGGAAUAAUAAAAUAUGGCUCCUGCCGUAUUUUGUUGGUUUUGACUGGUGGGAGUAAUGAUUGAUAGGGACGGUUGGGGGUGCUAGUAUUGAGCGGCCAGAGGUGAAAUUCAUGGAUUCGCUCAAGACUAACUUAUGCGAAAGCGUUCACCAAGGACGUCCUCUUUAAUCAAGAACGAAAGUUGGGGGAUCGAAGACGAUCAGAUACCGUCGUAGUCUCAACCAUAAACUAUGUCGACUUGGGAUCGGCGGUAGUUUUUUCAUUAAGACACUGUCGGGACCACGGGAGAAAUCAAAGUGUCUGGACUCUGGGGGAAGUAUGGUCGCAAGGCUGAAACUUGAAGGAAUUGACGGAAGGGCACCACCAGGAGUGGAGCCUGCGGCUUAAUUUGACCCAACACGGGGAAACUUACCAGGUCCAGAGAUGUAGAGGAUUGACAGAUUGAAGCUCUUUCUUGAUCACUUCGGUGGUGGUGCAUGGCCGUUCUUAGUUGGUGGAGUGAUUUGUCUGGUUAAUUCCGUUAACGAACGAGACCUCAGCCUGCUAGUGUAGUCGGCUGGAUUGCCUUUGGCGAUCCGUGAUUUCGACUUCUUAGAGGGACAAUCGACGCGCAGUCGAUGGAAGUUUGAGGCAAUAACAGGUCUGUGAUGCCCUUAGAUGUUCUGGGCCGCACGCGCGCUACACUGCUGGGCUCAGCGAGUUUUACUUGGCCGAGAGGCCCGGUUAAUCUUGUGAAAUCCCAGCGUGCUUGGGCUCGCCUCCUGCAACUGGAGGCGCCAACGAGGAAUUCCUAGUAGACGCAGGUCAUCAACCUGCAUCGAUUACGUCCCUGCCCUUUGUACACACCGCCCGUCGUUCCAUAAGAGUGAGGCAUCCGGUGAAUUCUCGGGAGAGCCUGGGCGUGGCCAGCAAUGGUCUGCUCGGGUUUGAACUUGCAUAAACUUGGUGCCUAUGAUUAGGGAAAAGUCGUAACAAGGUU